RNAcentral lists this ribosomal RNA (641 nucleotides) under uncultured bacterium. RNAcentral describes it as "bacterial SSU rRNA". It matches the Rfam family "Bacterial small subunit ribosomal RNA", at positions 10 to 661 of the family's 1533-position model. The record is from RNAcentral.
AGUUUGAUCAUGGCUCAGGAUGAACGCUGGCGGCGUGCUUAACACAUGCAAGUCAAGGGGGCCCAGCAAUGGGCAACCGGCGAACGGGUGCGUAACACGUGAGCAACCUACCCAGGUGUGGGGGAUAGCCGUCCCAACGGACGGGUAAUACCGCAUACGCUCUUCUUUAGGCAUUUAGAGAAGAGGAAACCUUCGGGGCACCAUGAGGGGCUCGCGGCCUAUCAGCUUGUUGGCGAGGUAACGGCUCACCAAGGCUACGACGGGUAGCUGGUCUGAGAGGAUGGCCAGCCACAUUGGGACUGAGAAACGGCCCAGACUCCUACGGGAGGCAGCAGUGGGGAAUCUUGCGCAAUGGCCUAACGGCUGACGCAGCGACGCCGCGUGAGGGAUGACGCUCUUCGGAGUGUAAACCUCUUUUGCCUGGAACGAAUUGCCACCAUCAGGUGGCUUGACGGUACCGGGUGAAUAAGCACCGGCUAACUCCGUGCCAGCAGCCGCGGUAAUACGGGGGGUGCGAGCGUUGUCCGGAAUCACUGGGCGUAAAGGGCGCGUAGGUGGCGUGAUAAGGGUGUGGUGAAAGCCCGGGGCUCAACCCCGGGUCGGCCAUGCCGACUGUCAGGCUAGAGUACUGUAGGGGCAGG